RNAcentral lists this non-coding RNA (74 nucleotides) under Desulfobacca acetoxidans. RNAcentral describes it as "Fluoride sequence". It matches the Rfam family "Fluoride riboswitch aptamer (crcB RNA motif)". RNAcentral also lists the same sequence under 1 other name. The record is from RNAcentral. Lineage: Bacteria; Pseudomonadati; Thermodesulfobacteriota; Desulfobaccia; Desulfobaccales; Desulfobaccaceae.
GUGCAAAUAGGUGAUGAGGUCCACCAUAACUGCCUUGCCGAGGAAUUGGCCGGGAUGAUGACUUCUGCCCCACA